Molecule: long non-coding RNA, 261 nt
Filed under: Elaeis guineensis (African oil palm)
Lineage: Eukaryota; Viridiplantae; Streptophyta; Magnoliopsida; Arecales; Arecaceae
Description: long non-coding RNA (EGUI_LNC076319)
Source: RNAcentral
AUUGAUGGUGUUAAUAGGAAUGAUUAUUGUAAUAUCAUUAUGAAUGAUACUAUAAUAAUGAGUAGAUAAUUAAAAAUGAUAUAAACUCAGUACCAUAGCCUGUUAGUAUAAAGUAUACUUCUAACUAGCAUCCUAGAUUAGAUAAUGUCACUGAAGUCUGCCUUUGAUAUUGUUGACUUAGUCACCUUUUAUUGGAAAGGAUGAAUGAGUGAGCGAUGUUCUAAGUUUGGUACAUGUUGAUGUAUUUACACUCAUGAACAU